This 307-nucleotide unclassified non-coding RNA is filed under the name plant metagenome. RNAcentral's name for it is "partial contains 5.8S ribosomal RNA, internal transcribed spacer 2, and large subunit ribosomal RNA". The stretch from base 1 to 105 matches the Rfam family "5.8S ribosomal RNA", at positions 50 to 154 of the family's 154-position model. The record is from RNAcentral.
GAAAUGCGAUAAGUAGUGUGAAUUGCAGAAUUCAGUGAAUCAUCAAAUCUUUGAACGCACAUUGCGCCCCUCGGUAUUCCGUGGGGCAUGCCUGUUCGAGCGUCAUCUACACCCUCAAGCUCUGCUUGGUGUUGGGCGUCUGUCCCGCCUCCGCGCGCGGACUCGCCCCAAAUGCAUUGGCAGCGGUUCCUUGCCCCCCUCUUUGCGCAGCACAUUGUCAUUCGAGGCGGCGGCGGCCCGCGUCCAACAAGCUCAACCCCCCCGUCUUUGACCUCGGAUCAGGUAGGGAUACCCGCUGAACUUAAGC